GAUGAACGCUGGCGGCGUGCCUAAUACAUGCAAGUCGAGCGAACAGACGAAGAGCUUGCUCCUCUGACGUUAGCGGCGGACGGGUGAGUAACACGUGGAUAACCUACCUAUAAGACUGGGAUAACUUCGGGAAACCGGAGCUAAUACCGGAUAAUAUAUUGAACCGCAUGGUUCAAUAGUGAAAGACCGUUUUGCUGUCACUUAUAGAUGGAUCCGCGCCGCAUUAGCUAGUUGGUAAGGUAACGGCUUACCAAGGCAACGAUGCGUAGCCGACCUGAGAGGGUGAUCGGCCACACUGGAACUGAGACACGGUCCAGACUCCUACGGGAGGCAGCAGUAGGGAAUCUUCCGCAAUGGGCGAAAGCCUGACGGAGCAACGCCGCGUGAGUGAUGAAGGUCUUCGGAUCGUAAAACUCUGUUAUUAGGGAAGAACAAAUGUGUAAGUAACUAUGCACGUCUUGACGGUACCUAAUCAGAAAGCCACGGCUAACUACGUG
RNAcentral lists this ribosomal RNA (497 nucleotides) under uncultured bacterium. Its description in RNAcentral is "partial 16S ribosomal RNA". It matches the Rfam family "Bacterial small subunit ribosomal RNA", at positions 28 to 507 of the family's 1533-position model. The record is from RNAcentral.